UAUCAUAGUAUAUGUUGUGUUGAUAUCAUGAGCCAUCUAGAUACUUUUAUUAUAGCCUAUAGGCUAUUAUGUGUAAUUUAGUAAGCUGUGGCGUAUCCGAUAUUCCGAUAGAACUUCGGGAACAGUGUCAACAGUGUGGACGGUUGUGUUCAAAACAAGCCAUGUAUUUUCUGCUACCAGUCCUAACUAUUGACGAUGAACGCAGUACUGCAGUAGUGACAUAAAUAUUGCGCAGGAUGCAAGGACGUCGAGGAUGUAGUAUUGUAGUGUGAUCCACCGACGUCUUCUGAGCAUGCCGAGCAUGGGCACUAAGAAAACGAGUUUUGACUUUUCGAACAAAUYUAAUGAUCGACAUCGUUUGAGGUCUGACGUCUGUCGCUGUGAUGUCCACCAUGGCGGAUAACAUUCACUUUCAUUAUUUGAAUUAAAGGUUUAAACUCGCCAGACACCGAAACCAAUUUUUGUCAAUUCUUAGACCAUUCGUUCGAGUUCGGAGUUUCAAUCAAAUCUAAUGACUAGGAGAUUUUCAACAUUUUUGUGUCCAUAUCAUCACUUUAGAGCAAUCGUGUUUUGGCCACUAUAUCGAAUCAACUAUGCAAAAUUGGAAAUAUUUUCACCGCAGUGUGCGACUAGUUACUAGUUUACUUGGUAUUUUACUAGAAUAUUGAMACUACAGACAGUGUUUUUAACAAUGCGAUAAGCUUAACAAAACACAGCUGCCUUGCCAUUAUCAUCAAGAAACUCUGAGCUGAAAAAAAUUACUACAAGGUGUCAGGCGAGUUGGUUGAUAAAUGACUUUCAAUGUGCCAUUGCUUUUCAAAUCCAGCUACAAUAAAAUAAAUAUUGACAUAUUUGUAUAUUUCAAUUGGAUAUACUAAAAUUAUUGUUUGAAUAAAAUCUACCUGGAUAAAAAUAAGUAAGUU
This is a long non-coding RNA of Diuraphis noxia (Russian wheat aphid), 923 nucleotides long. The record is from RefSeq and is a predicted model, not a curated record. Lineage: Eukaryota; Metazoa; Arthropoda; Insecta; Hemiptera; Aphididae.